This 450-nucleotide ribosomal RNA is filed under the name uncultured bacterium. Its description in RNAcentral is "bacterial SSU rRNA". It matches the Rfam family "Bacterial small subunit ribosomal RNA", at positions 354 to 796 of the family's 1533-position model. The record is from RNAcentral.
GUGGGGAAUUUUGGACAAUGGGCGCAAGCCUGAUCCAGCCAUUCCGCGUGAGUGAAGAAGGCCUUCGGGUUGUAAAGCUCUUUCAGCAGGAACGAAACGGUCUUUCCUAAUACGGAGGGCUAAUGACGGUACCUGCAGAAGAAGCACCGGCUAACUACGUGCCAGCAGCCGCGGUAAUACGUAGGGUGCGAGCGUUAAUCGGAAUUACUGGGCGUAAAGCGUGCGCAGGCGGUUCUAUAAGACAGAUGUGAAAUCCCCGGGCUCAACCUGGGAACUGCGUUUGUGACUGUAGGACUCGAGUGUGGCAGAGGGGGGUGGAAUUCCACGUGUAGCAGUGAAAUGCGUAGAUAUGUGGAGGAACAUCGAUGGCGAAGGCAGCCCCCUGGGUCAACACUGACGCUCAUGCACGAAAGCGUGGGGAGCAAACAGGAUUAGAAACCCCAGUAGUCC